RNAcentral lists this ribosomal RNA (253 nucleotides) under uncultured bacterium. Its description in RNAcentral is "partial 16S ribosomal RNA". It matches the Rfam family "Bacterial small subunit ribosomal RNA", at positions 524 to 776 of the family's 1533-position model. The record is from RNAcentral.
UACGGGGGGGGCUAGCGUUGUUCGGAAUUACUGGGCGUAAAGCGCACGUAGGCGGCUUUGCAAGUCAGAGGUGAAAGCCCGGGGCUCAACCCCGGAAUUGCCUUUGAGACUGCAUCGCUAGAAUUGUGGAGAGGUAAGUGGAAUUCCGAGUGUAGAGGUGAAAUUCGUAGAUAUUCGGAAGAACACCUGUGGCGAAAGCGGCUCACUGGACCAUAACUGACGCUGAUGCACGAAAGCUAGGGGAGCAAACAGG